Molecule: long non-coding RNA, 17363 nt
Filed under: Coffea arabica (coffee)
Lineage: Eukaryota; Viridiplantae; Streptophyta; Magnoliopsida; Gentianales; Rubiaceae
Description: long non-coding RNA (CARA_LNC007383)
Source: RNAcentral
UUUUUUUUUUUUUUUUGGUACAAAGCAUAAUUAGCCUAUGAAAUCGAACCAACAACCAUGAUGAUAGUUUGAUAGGUACUGCACACAAAUUAGGUCGAUUAUUACUCUUGGUUUAGACAUUGUUUGUGUUUAUAAUUUUGAGUCGUUAUAAGAUGAUUAUAAAUUGACUGUAUAAAUAUGAUAAUUUAAUUAUUUAGAAAAUAAAAUGAAUUCCAAAUUUAUUUGAAUUUGUUCUAUUCCACAAAAAUAUAAAUUGCAAAGAUAUGGAAGCAAACAGAACCGUUUUGAAAAUAGUCUUAAGAUCAUCGAUAAAGUGAUCUUGCUUAUGCAAAAUAUCAAACACUAAAUCUAAAUCAUAUUGAUUAGUGCCAUGAGGUUGCAAAGUAUACAAACAUAGAAAAAGAGGGGCUAAAUCCAGCCCUUAGUUUUUAUACAUUAAACCAAAACUUUUUGUAACAUUUAAGUUAUCUCUCUCCAUAAUGAAAACAAGAACAAUAAUAUCUUUUCCAAAGAAAUAUAAAUUAUGUACCCUAGUUUUUAUGUUAGUUCUACAGAGAAAUUUCUUUCUAUUUUAUAUCAUUCUAACAUUUAUGUUUCUUUGAAGUUGCUUUAAAAUAUGUAAUUUUUCUACUUUCCUUUAAUGAGCCUACUAACUUUAUUUUGUUAAACCAUUUUUUGUACUAAUUUACACAUAAUCAAAUGAUAGAUGAUGUGAGAAUCCGAAAAAUUUCUUUAUUUUUAUUUUAUUUUAUUUUUUCGAAUACAUUUUCGUUACUUUACCCUAUUGCCUUCAUUUUUUAGAUAUUUUUACAAGUGAGUCAAGUUUUUAAAUCAUUUUCCUUGUAUAAAUUAGUACAUUUUAAAUUUAUAAUGUAUUAUGGAAGUGGAACUCACUAGUGAGGUAUGUGCGAUAAAUUUUUGAAGAAUAGGAGGAGUUUUGUGUAAAGGGAUAUUAUUUUAUAAGGUGUUAAGAGAUAAUUAAUUUAUGAAGAAUAGGAGGAGUUUUGUGUAAAGGGAUAUUAUUUUAUAAGGUGUUAAGAGAUAAUUAGAGGUUGGCUAGAUAUUUUAGUGAUUGAGAGACAGUAGGAUGAGGAUUAACCCUUGGAGGCCAUUUGUCAUUAAAGCAUUGGACCAUUGACUUUGACUAACACCUUUCUUAACCUUUUAUUAACAAAAAAUUGACCAAAUAUCCUAUCAUCUUCUCCCCUCUCUUGGCCUACUCCUUGGAGAGAAAAAAAGGAAGGAAAACUUCAUCUUCAUCUUCAACCUCUAGUUCUUGCUUGAAUCUUGAGUUUUCACCUUAAUCUUACAAAUCACUCCAUAAAAGUUGACACUUAGGGAGGAUUAAGGGCUUUGGUGGAAAGAUUUUGGAGAAAGAAACACUUGGUUGCCAUAUUUUCAUAGGGUUUCAAGGUAGGUAUAUCAAGAUGCCCUCUUUUCUUUUAAUAUUUGCAUAAGAGUGGAUUUAGGGCUUGAUUUUGGUAGUUUUCAUAAGAAAUUUCAUGGUUUGAGUGGUGAUUCAAAAUUUUCAGUUUUGAUGGUGAAAUUUCAGCUUUUAUAUGAUGCUUUGAGCUUGGUCAGGAUUUAGUAGUUUUGCUAUGUGAAUCUUCUAGCUUUUACAAGUUAUUUUGGCUUGCUUAUGGAAAAUUUCAGCUUGUAGUUGAAAUUUUCAGCUUAGGAUUUCAAAUUUUAGCUUUGUUGUGAUUGAUUUUGAGUUAGAAAAUUUGAUAUUUUGAAUGGUUUUGUGGCCUUAAACAAGUGUACUUUAUAGCUUGUAACUUGUGGUUAUGAUUGAGGUUGGAUUGAUAUGAAUGUUGGUGUUGAGUUUGGAUGGAAAAGUUAAGAAAAUAAGAGGAAGUAUUGCUGAAAAUUUUCCCGCAGAAGACUCUAAACAGUCUUGAAAAAUCUGUUAUAUCUUGAUGUAGAAAAAUCCAAAUUGAGUUUCGCUUAUUGCAUUUGAAACUAAAUUUAGAAUGCAUUCUACCGUGAAAAUUUCAGAAAUUUUCUCAAUUCCUAUGAAUAUCUACGAUUUUUCAAAGUUGACUGAAUUUUCACACCUGCUCUUUUUUUCUACUUGAUGAAGCAGCAACUUGAAACUAGAAUUCGACUGAUUUAUGGACAGAAAAGUAUAAAUAUGUAUUCUGGAAAAUUGUAGUCUUUUCAAUCUAUUUUCCAAUGGUAUAAAUUUUAUAAAUUUUGGACUUAAGAAACUUGCGAUAUGAUUUUUCAAACAAUGUCGUGCAAAACUAGAGAAAAUUCUGUUUCUUAAACUUGUUCUUGCUUCCAUUUCCAACUUUAAGUUGGAGUUGUUAAAUCAUUUUGAGCUUGGUUUUAUGAGUGGAAUUGAGAUUUAAAUGAAAGGAAAUGAGUUUCUUCAAAUCAUUUUAGGUCGGAUAAUUUUCAACUUUGUAUUUUGAAAGUCUUGUUCUAAUUUCUUCAAACAUUUGACUAUAAUCGAUGCUCUUGUACUCCAAAUGACUUUUGCAACGUUGAUUUAGUAAGCACAUGAGGUUUCUUCCUCGAUUGCAACAAGAAAAUAUUAUAUUUUGAUAGUUUAUACUGGCAUAAAAUUUGUAAAUUGAUGCAUUUUCUAAAUGAAGUUUUGAAACCUCAAUUUCUUCAUGUAUUUUGGCUUUGUAUUGCUAGUUUUUUAAUAUAGUAUAUGAUCACAGGACUUGAGAGAGUUCAAGAGGACGAACCAGGGUUAAAGUGAAGGGUUUGAAUUGAUUGGUGAGUGUUCCAAUUCAUGUUAUUUGAUUAUGUGUAACUUGAGAAAAUGCUAUUAUUUGCUUAAGUGCUCUCCUUUGAAUGACUGUUGUGAUUUUCUUAUGUUGUUAAUCUUGUGACAGCCCCACCUCCCCCUAAGAUGAACCAAAGGGUUCGGCAGACCGCCUGCCCGGCUCUCGCCGGGACUCAGUCAAACCUCCAUCAAAACUGAAAUAAAACUACAAGAAUCAAAACGAAAUGGAAGGGCCGCCGCCAUGCAGGAUCCGACCAAAUACAAGAAACUUUGUUUGCCAUGAAAGAAUGUACAUUCCCGAAUACAUAUGUUACAUAAACAUGAGGAAACACUUUAUAAUAUACACAUUAGUAAGUUUACAAAUCCAAAAGGAAACAUUGUAUUAAGAUACAUUUAGGGUUUCCAAUUUUGACGAGGAGCUAUACCAAAAGAAUCAAAAGAAUUUCUAACUAGCUCAACUCAUUCCUCAAAACAUUGAAGUUCCAAAAGAUGGUUCCCUGUAGAGAAAAUAAGGAUAACGGAACAGGGUGAGCUAAAAGUUCAAUGAGGUGCCCAAAAUAAUAACAGUCAAGAACCAAAGAACUUCAUGCUCAAUUAAUCACAUAAGUGUAGCAAAUAAGGAGAGGAACAAAACAACUUAGAUAAAAGGAUACAGGUGGCUCUCAGGAGUCAAACUCCCCGUUGCAGUACUUGAUCCAACUACGUUGACCCUCCGUCAACUUUCAAAUAAGGAAACCAAUCCAGUAGAAUACCACUUUAACGUCAAAUCCCGUUCACCAAUCAUACCCCUUACCGGACCCGAACGCCAAACAGGAACAGGAAUGGUAAUACUCGAGUAUACCGGAAUCAAGAGUCUCAAUACCCAAAGAUUCCCCCAGGAACAGGUACCCAAGGAUUGUCAAUUAUCUCGACCAAGCCCUUGCUGGCUCGAUUUAAUUAACUCCCCAUGAGGCUGAGCUCAAGUUUAACAGGACGAUCGUUGGACACAUUUCCAAACGAUCUCAUAACAAGUGUAAGUAACAAGUUCAAGUACAUAACAAGUACAAGUAAUAGAUUCUAGUUCGUUCAGUACAGGCAAGAGAACAAGUGUGAUAAAGUACACUCUCAUCUCAUAUAAGAUAAAAAGUCAGGAAAGAUAUUCAAAUAGCAAGUUGCAAGUACAGAAAACCAGUUUAGCAAUAAUUCAGGGGAGUGGUGCACUCACCUGAUCAAACAAGGAUAAUUUCAAAAGUUUCCUUCCCAAGUAUGGCUUUACUCGCCGGCACCUCCUAGAACAAUCAAGGCAAACACUUAAGACUGGACUCCAAGACCUAAUAAGUGGAAUUCGCAAGUAAAACUCGAUUACAAGUCAGGUGCCUAUCCAAAUGAACCAUUAAUUUAAAGCGAAGAGAUGACUUUGGAGUGAAAAGAUAACGAUUAGUCCUAAAGGCAUGAACAACCUCAAAACCCUACCUACAAUGACUGACCAACUCCAAAUUUGAAGUAGAAAAUGAAAGUAAGAUCGAUACUAGGAAAACAGGAUUUUCCAGUUUCGCGCAACCCUAUAUGAAAAAUCAUAUCUCAAGUUUUAUAAGUCCAAAAUUAGUAAAAGUUAUACCUUUGGAAAAUACAUUCAAAGGGCUAUAACUUUCCAGAGAACACCCUCAUAAGAUUCAGAACGCAAGUCAUACAAAUUCAAGCCUCAAGUUGCUGCUUUAUCCAGUGAAAGACAGAACAGGUACAAUAUUUCAGUCAACUUUGAAAAAUCACCAUAAAUGGUACAGACAUAAACAGGGUCUAAAAUUUAUACGGUUUAUACCCUAUGAAUCUAGUUUAAAACGCAACAAACAGAACUCAAUUUUGACAUUCCUACAUCAAGAUAUAGCAAAUUUCCCGAGACUGUGCAGAAGCUCCGCGAAAAUUUUGACAGCAUUUCCAUUGUCUUUCUUUACUUUCCAACCAAACCUCAACACCCACAAAUCACAAGCUAUCAAACACCUUUAAUUAGAGCCACAAUAAGGCUUGAAUACGAGUCAUAAACCGAAUCCACAUAUCACUAGAGUAAAAUCAUAUGGAACGUAUAAGUGCAAAAUCAAACUAGGACAUAUGCGGAAACGAAGUUUGCGUGGGAAAACAAAAGGCAGAUUUGCUGUUGCUUAGCGGAAUUAACACAACUGAAGCUAUCCUUGUCGAAUUGAGGUGUAAUUUACACCGUUUCGAAGCUAAGAGAAAGGGCUACAAUGUUGAAGAAGGCUACUCAGUCCAGUUUGCAAUGUAUCUAGGUCAAAUUUACCAAAACAACCCCAGAUUUUCCAGUUUGAAGUUUACUAUGAAAUGCAACCAGCAGUCGUGAUUCAUUCACUCAUAUCUCAGCACCUACGACUCCAAUUCAAGUGAUUCCAAAGCCAUCUGAAUGCUAAGAUACCAGGCUAUAAAUGUUAAGAAGACAUCAAUAACUAAAUCAGUAGUAUUCCCAGUCAACCUAACCAAUUAGCAAAGCUGAUUAUCAGUUUCAGACAGAAACAGGGCAGCAGGGGUGUUUCAAUCUUUUCACAGGCUACAUUGCUCCGAUUGGGCUGAAAUUUUUCAGGCAACUAUAAAACAUCAUCCUCUACAACUUUCAUGUUUUGUACUAAGGCUAGUUCAGCCUCUAACAUGGUGAAAUAGAACCGGACAGAAGCAGGGCAGGUUAUCAUCCAAGCUGGAAUUUAUGCUUACAAAGCAGAAAUUUCUUUAGGCCAAGUAAACUAGCAUCUAAACACUAGCUAUUUCACAUAUCAAAGCUAUCAAACCAUAACUAAUCAUAAAUCUUCAUAUUAGGGCAGAAAAUUCACCAAGAAACUGAAAUUUUCCAUAACACCACUUCCUUCAUGAAAUUUUUCUAUAAAACUACAUAACUCACAACUCUAAACCAUCCCCUAACAAUUAAUUGAAGUAAGAAGAAAGUUCUUGGUAACAUACCUUAAAAUCCCAAUAAAAAUGAUAGCUUGAUGUUUCCCUUUCAAAAACAACACCACCAACCUCUUAAAUCCUCCCUAUCAAGAAGUUUUUAUGGAGUACUUUGAUGUAUUAAAGAUUGGAACUCAAGAUUUGGCUUGGAUUGGCAAGACAAGAUGAAGGUUUUUCCUCUCUUUUUUCCUCCUCAAUAGCCGGCCAAGAAGCAUGAAGAAUGAAGAUAAUUUUGGUCAUUUUUUGGUAUUUAGUAAAGGUGAUGAAUAGUAGGUCAAAGUCAUCCUCCAAUAGUUACUUGACACUUGUCCAUUCCUAUGCUUGAUCUCAUCCUUUUGUCUCUCCUUACAAAUUAAUCUAACUAACCUCUAAUUAUCUCCUAACACAUAGUAAAUGAAUCUCUUAAUGCAAAACUUAACCUAAUUGGCCGAAUUUUAUCGAACUUACCGCAUUAGUAGGUCCCACAUCCGGUAUAUACUCUUAAAAGCUCAUGAACUAACUUAUACUAGAAAAAUACUUUUAAAAACCCUAUUUACUCAUAAACUUAUUUAGAAAAUUUUUUCCUAAUAAAGAAAUUGCAUAAAAUGCGUGUAAUUAAAUAAAAUAAGGUCUAGAAAAUAAGAAAAUUCAUGGGUUCUCACAAAUCUACUACGAACGCAUGUUCACAUUGCAUGAAUGCGUGAUAAAUGUGCAAGAAUGUAGGCUGAUGUGUACUUUAUCGCAUCAGCUGAACUGAGCUUAACCCUAUUCUGGCAUCCUAUCCGAGACCCGCCAUUUGCGAGGUCGGAUUAGCUGGAUAGCUUUGGGUUUAUAAUUUACCAAUGUUAAGUGCAAAACUCAAAACUCUUUGUCGAAAGGUCUCGAGUACAAUGUUUAAUGUUUAAUGUUCAAUGAGGGGAUUGUUGAUUUUUCGGAGUGUAGACACCAAAAUUUCAUUUAUUUUAUUCAAUUUUAGCUUUAUUCUUGUUUUAUUUUAUUUUAUUUUAUUUUUAUUUUAAUUGAUAGUUAAUGUUCAUUUUUUUUUAUAAAUUAGGUUUAUCAUUUUCAUUUAUAAGGUGAUUUUGCAUUAAAUUUCUAAAAAAGGAAAAAUUUUCACAAAAAUUCAAAAUUUGUCUUUAAACCUUUUAGAUUCAUUUUUUUAAGAUAAAUAAAAUUGUGCAAUGCAUUUGCAAUUAGGAGUUAACAUUUUUUUUGUUGUUUAUCUAAAUUGAUUUUGGAAAACAUAUAUAAUAAAUAAAUAAAAAUAAGAAGAUAAGUGUAAUAGGAGAUUAUUAGACAAGUGUAUUAAGGGAUCAUUAGACAAGUAUAUUAGGGAAAUAUUAGACAAGUGGAGUACAUGCAAAUAGGAUAAAUGUUCUCAUUCUUGGUUGACAACACACGCAAGGGUGGUUAAGUGGCUAGACACUUGAAAGUCUAGGAUAAUCUAGAAAAUUUGGGAAACCAAAAAAAAAAAAAAAAAGAGGGGCGGCUAGAAGGGAAACUAAGGAAGAGAACGGGAAAGAAACAAGCUAGAGAGUCUUGGGCUGAGGGAGGAAAAGAAAGCUAAGGUAAGAAACAAAGAAAAAGGCAGCGAGAGGAAGAGCAAGAUUGAACAAAGGCGGGGCUACGGGCUGGAGGAGAAAAAACUGGGAAAAAAGAAAGGGGGGAACCAAGAAAAAAACUACGGGCUUGAGGAGAGAAAAACUAGAAAAGAGAUUGGGAGAGGGUUGUGAGGAGCUUUGGGAAGACAGGAAAAAGAGAAUGGCGGCUGGGGGUUGGAGGAAAAAAGCUACGAGAGCUGGCGGUGAAGCUUUGGGAAGAAGAAGGAAACUGAAAACAAAAAAAACAAGGGAAGCUACGGGCUGAGGAACCAAUAGAGGGAGAGGAAACCAAAGAGAGCAAGGAAAAAUCUGGAACUAAGCAAGGAAAAUCUGUGAAAAGUUUACGGGCAAGAAACCAGAGGAAGAAAGGCAAGAGAGAGGGAAGAGUUUCGAGGGAGAAAGGAGAAAAAGCUUGGGGGAAAUCUGGAAAAAGGAGGAAAACCAGAGAGAAAAGCUACGGGUAAGAAGAGAGGGAGGAGAUUGAGAGAAGGUGGAGGCUGCCAAGAAAAAAAGAAAGGGAGAGGGGCUGUGGAAGGAAGAAACCGAGAGAGCAAGACAGAUUGCUGAGGAAAAACAAAGGAAAAGAAAAGGAAGAAGGUGGCGGCUGAGUAGGGAAAAGCAAGGAAAAGAAAGAAAAGAGAGGAGAAAAGAGGCGGAGCAAGAAAGACACAGAGAGAGGAGGGAAAAAUAGAGGAAAAAGGAGAUCAAAAGAAAAUUUUUGCUGGAAGAAACCCAGGGCUCAGGCUGAUUCAUCAGCCUGAUUCGUCUCCAAUUUCUGAUCAUAUUUCCGAUUUUCAGGGAGGUCUCUUCAUUUCUGCAAUAUCCUGGACUGCAAUGGAGAAGUUUUUGUUCAGAAACAAUUCGGGGAAAACAACUCCAAACCUGUUGAAUUGAAGCUUCAAUUCGCGGCACCGUCAGUCCCUGGAGAAAAUUUUGCAGCUUUCCACCAGUAGCUUUUUCGCACUUGAAUCUGCUUAUCUUACCGUGUCACGUGUUGUUCCGUCGUUUAAAACAUCAGAGGUAAUCUUUAAACUCUCUUCCGUCAUACAAGUUCGGAUUUAUGACAGAUUUCUUCCUUUUUGCUCUCUGCAUUUUGUGUUCUUCCUUUGCUGUUUUAUCUCCAUUUUUCUGUUAUAAUCUUGCGAUAAAGUGUAGCAUUUGAUCUGUUUGACGUUGGGAGUUGCAUCUUUAGGUUUUUUUGGUUCAAAGUUGAUGUUUGGUUGGAUGUUUUGUUUGAUGAAAUUGUGGUGGGCAUGAAACCAGAAACGUUGCAGAGAAAGCUAAUAAAGAAGAAAGCUUGCUUCGAUGCUCUGCAUGAAAAAUUCCAGAAAUUGCACUUUAGCCCUAAUUUUUCAACUAAUGCCACUAUGGACCAGAAAAUUGGAAAAAUAAUUAUUUUUGUCCUUUAACAUGUUAUUUUUCUUUGAUAUGAUUUAAUGUGAUUUUUGGAUCGAUUUUUAGUGAAUUUUAGGAUGAAAUUUGAGGUUUAAUAGUUUUGAGAGAUUUAUGAUUUUGAUUUGGAUUUUUAGUGAAAUUUUGGGUAUUUUUGUUGUUUAAUUGUAACAAAUGGUUUUUCAUUUAUUUUUUGUGAAUUUUAGUUUUGUUUUGGUAGGUUUCAUUCUUAAGCCAUUAAUUUUAAUUUAUUUUAAUUAGACCCCUAAUAUUUGUAAUAAUAACAAUUUGACCCCUCAAAUUUCUUUAAUUACUUCAAUUGGGUCCUUGUUUGUUUUAAUUUAUUGAAUAUGGGUUGUUUAUUUUUAUUUGAAUGAUUUGAUUGAUUCAAUUUCAUAUUUAUUUCCAUUUCAUGUGAUUAUUUGUUAAUUAAAGCGAUGUCUUGACCCUUUUUCUUUGUUUUGGAGGGUAAAUAAGGAAAACUUCACUUCAUUAGGUCACCAAUUCAAAUGAGGUGUACUCUGCUCUUUAUUUUAAUUUUACUUGAUCCUAUGUGCUCCUAUGUGACUUUAUGUGCGUAAUUGCAUGCUUUUUGAAUGUUUUUAUUUCAUUUAUUUAUUUAGUCACUUUAAUUGUUUUGAUUUUGUAUAUUUAUUUUAAUUUUUAUUUGGAAGACAAUUAAAUGCCACAAUUAUAAUAGUUAGGUUAUUAUUUCAUUUUAUUUCAUUUUUUUCCCUUUUAAAUUGUAGUUAGGGCCCCCAAAUGUAAUAGUUAGGGCUUUAUUUGAUUUAUUUGCUUUGUGUGCUAUGCAUGCUUAUGUGUUUACGUGUUACUCGCUUUCUUAGGGCCUUUUAUCUAAAUAUCAUAUUUAUGUGCUAUGUGCUAUAUAUGAUUUAUGUGUUUAUUUGCUUUAUUAUAUUUUACAUGAUUUAUUUGCCAACGCUAGUUGUAGCCCCCUUUUCUUCCGAUUUCACACUAGUCCAACGCUAGUUGUGGCCCUCCUCUCCGAUUUCUCACUAGUCCAAUGCUAGUGAGAAUUUAUAAACAUGGGCUAGUCCAACGCUAGACUCUUGGGAACCAUCCACACGUUAGAUCAUGUUUGUGUGACAAAGCACUACAUUUCAUGCAUAGUUUCUACUUUUGUAGGUUUUUUUUUUAUUUUGCAUGACAUUCCCCUUAUAUGUAUAUCCCUUAUCCCAUAUUUUCCUUAUAUGUAUAUUCCUUACCCCUUAUGUAUGAAUCAUGACAUUAGACUUGCAUUUCAUUUAAGGAAAGUUAGAACUAGGUUAGAUUAUUUUGCUUGAUUAGAUAUGAGAAAUACCCAUCGAAUAUGGGAUAUGGACAAAUAUGAUUUUCUAGCCUUAGCACGCUCGUAUUCCCUCUAUUAAAGGGAAAAUUAAAGUCACGAAUUUUAGCCCCCGCACCCGUUAUGAUGCAUUCCUUUAGGUCAUAUAUAUUUGUAUAAUUAUUAUUUUCUUUUAUUUUUCUUCGGGUCUCAUAUUUUUGCAUAUUCGUGACCUCUUCAAAGAGUCACUCUUGGGCAUCACAAUUAAUGUGAUUUGCACCAAUCAAGCUUUUGAAGAGAUAUUCCGACCCCCGACAUCUUCCUAGGUUUAGGUUUUUGCAUCCAUAUAGUGACAUCAAAAUGUGAUAAAUUCCUAAGUUAAAAUAAGAAAAUUUUUUGACUAAAUCACAUAACUAGCUUGGCUAGAUUGAAAGGGUACCUUGGAUUUUAUCCUUGCCUUCCCUUUCUUCAAAUGUGACUUCCGGCCUCUUUUCUCUUAAUUUUCGCAAACUUGAAGUCGUUUAAAAAGGGUUUUCUCUACUUUUUCUUUAAAAAUUCAUUUUAGGUGACUUGGUACAUUUUAACUCAAUACCAAGUGAUGACUCCUAUUUUUUUCUUAAAAACCCUUUUUAAACUAUUAUUUUUGGAUUAAAAUCGUUGCACUUUAAGUCCCAUUUAGGCCCAUUUUCUUUAUUUAUUUUCUAAAAAUAAAAAACUCCUUUUUACUCAAAAUAAAUCAAAAACCCAUUUUUCAAUCAAAAAUUUAUUUUUCUAAACACAUUACAUUUUCAUUUAAAAAUGGGGCGUGACACGGAGGGCAUAAGGUAAAUGUUAAAUGAGGGGAUUGUUGAUCUUUUGGAGGACAUAAGGUGGGAGUUCGGAGGUUAUAAGGUGGUAAAAUGUAGGGGAUUGUUUAUUGGUAGUUAUAAGGUGAAUAUUGCUCCUUGUGAGCCCGUAUCCUUUUAAUGUUUAAAUUAUUGUUCAUUCUUGUAUUUACUUGAACGAAUGAAUGAAUGCACGCAUGAAUGUUAUUGUUUAUCAAGUAUUUUACGCUGAAAGAUUCCUAUCACAAUUAAUUGCUCCACUACUAGUUUCUAAAGUUGAGUAUCGAUUUACUUGAACCUAUAUUAGUUGGGAAAACGUGCUUACAUGUUAAAUUGUGUUAUUCUCUUAUUUUGCUUGUUUACCUGGAAUGCUCACUGGACGUAAGCUCAUCCCACGUUUUGUUUUCCUUAAUAGGAUUCGGAUCUGAGAGUGCUGAAAAAUACUGUUGGAAUGUGUUGAGAGACUUUAAGUUUUUAUUUUAGUAGAAAUGACUGUAGUGUAUAUAUUUUUGGGUUGUAAUUAAGAUAGGCGCCAAAUGAUGAAUCUUUUGUACGUGAACCUAUGUAUUAGCUUGUGGAUGUAUGCAAGUGUUAUUUUGGGGUGUAAUGAAUAUUAUUUUGUUUAGUUUAGAAAUUUCAAGUAAUUCUUGCUAUGGAUUGUAGUGAGUCAUAGCGAGAGUUGGGCAGACGGUCCGCUGACCCCUCUAGUUUGCCUUUGGGGAAGUGGGGCUAUCACAGAUGAUCACAUGAAAAAGGUUAGGGAUAAUUUCAGAAACCUUCCUUGAGUCUUCUGACAAUUUCACUGAUACGAACCCUGCCAACUCUAUGACAAAACCUAUAAGAGACAAGUUCAAAAAUUUAGAAUAUGGUAUCACAGUUUGAUGAACUCCAAUGGAUGAGUUGAUGAUGAUAUGAUGAACUCCAAUGGAUCAACCAUUUUAUGACUUGAACAUGAACCAUCGGGACCUAGUUUAGAGUAGCGGAUUAUAAACGAUCAAGGACAAUUAGAAGAGUAGGAUAAUACCACAAUCUAGUGCAUUUCUAAAUUAAUAAAUCAAUUGAAACUCAAGAAUCUUCUUAAGUAUUCAAGUUUGGAACUCUUGAACAAGAGACUCGCGAAACACAAAGUAUUGCUGAAAUUUUCUUAAUUCAUCAUUCACUAUGAAAAACAUUGACACUUAAGGCUUUAUAUAGCUUUUACAAAACUCAAAACCUAACUCAACUAUAACUAAGACUUAACCUAAGUUCGGCUAAGAAUAACAACCCUAACUUGACUCAACUAACCUAACACUAAUUCGACUCCAACAUUGGUCCGCAUAACCUUUAGCCGUUUAUUCAACCAAACUAACAACUUAAAUUAAUUCCAAACUAACCCUAGUUAUGCAACCAAAAUUGUUGGAAUUAAUUUAGAGAAUGACAACAUAAAUCCUAAUAACAAUUAAAACCAAUAAACGAACUAAAACAUUGGAAGGGAUCCGGAUGUGAUGAACUCCAAUGGAUGAUUUGAUGAUGAUGUGAUGAACUCCAAUAGAUCAACCAUUGAUACGACUUGAACAUGAACCAUCAGGGCCUAUGUUCACAUCAUUCACUUAGCUCCCCUCAAAUUUGAAAACUUACUAAAAUAUCUAUAAUGCCCUCUACUUUGUAGACAAUUUUAAAUUUAAAGCAAUAAAUUUACAAAACCCAAAAAAAUCUAUUUUCUAUCUCUUAUUUAUUUUGGCUUCUCUCUUUUCUAGUUAACAUAACCUCUUUUUAUUAUCUUCACUUUUGUGGAUAUUAGCAAAUUGAGAUUACAAAAUCAAUAAAGGGAGUAGAUUAUAUGUCAAACUAGAAGGAAAUGAAGAGACUUGCAGUGAUAGAGAAAUAUAUAAUGAAAUUGAUGGUUGAAAUAGAAAAAAAAAUAAAGAUGUGGAAUUUGUCAUAUUUUGUUUGUUUUCAAGAAAAAUUUUUAUAAAAUGUCCAUAAUUACAUAAGAAUUUCUUUUAGUAGAUUAGAAAUUUUAAUUAUGAUAUUAUUGUGGAGGUAGAAUUUAUUCUUUACUUCAGAAAUAUUAAUAUUUUUAAAGACAUAGAAAGGUUGUAAUAGUGGUUCUAGAUCAGAUUAACUUGUAUUUAAAAAGUAUUUGAGCAUUGAUAUUUAAUUUGGAGGAUAAAAUUAGUUGUCAAUGGGGUUUUUGUGUGUGUAUUUUUUUUUCUUUUUUUCACGUGGUAAGUAUUGAUACUAUAUAUACAAUUUGGGAUCGACGGUUACUUAAUUUUAGAACUUAUGCUUGGAUGGUUAUUAAAGAUUAGACUUACUGAUUUGUGCAACGUGUGGAAGAAAAUGAUUGAGUGUAAUAUAUUUUUCUUUCUUAGUUUUGUACAAAAGGGAAAUUUAGGAUUUUUGUGAGAAAAUUUAUCUUGUUGGACCUACAAGGUUACUAAAUAAUAAAUGUAAGGGAGGUAUAUGUAAUUUUUAAAAUUUGAGGGGAGUUCUAUGUAAUUGUUAAAAAUCUUAGGAGAGGUUCGUGAGAUUUUAAUUGAUUGUUCCAUCUUGAAAACUAUAGAGAUUUUACUUUUAGAAACUUGAAAUGCAUAGACACUACUAUUUACAUGCUCAUUUGUAAUUGAAAAACUUCUAUUGCUAAAUUAAUCUGUAAAUUAAAAAAUUAAGAUUCUUAAGCACUUGUAAAUUGUUUAAAAUAUUCUCUUCUAAAUGGAGAUAUUUUUCUCCUUUUUUUUUUUACUUUGUCAACGUACAUUACUUAGGGGAGGGGAUCGGUUGAGUUGAUUUCGAAAGGGAAAGAAAAUGUAAACGAGAGGUCCCAUGUUCGAACUCUCCCACACACACUAAAGGGGAGGAAAAAAAUAUGGGCAAAUUUCACUUUACCCCCCUAUGGUUUAGCAUUUUUUUACAUUACCCCCCUAUAGUUUCAAAAGCUACACAUAACCCCCUUAUGGUUUGGAUUAAAGUGUCAAAGUGAUGGGAACGAUCAUUCAUAACGGAGUCACCUAAAAUGUCAAAAAUACCCUUAUGUAAAGUUGAAAAUUAUUUGUUAAUCAAGGGGGGUCAUGUGUAUAUUUUGAAAACCAUAAGGGGGUUAUAUGGUAAAAUAUUAAAUCAUAAAGGGGUUAUAUGGUAAAAUAUAAAAAUCAUACGGGAUUAAUGUGUCAUGUAUUUAUAAGGGUAAUUUUGACAUUUUUAGAAGUUUCGUUACGAGUGACUAUUUCCGUCACUUUGACACUUUAAUCCAAACCAUGAAGGGGUUAUGUAUAGUUUUUGAAACCAUAGGGGAGUUAUGUAAAAAAAAUGCAAAAUCACAGGGGGGUAAAAUGUAAUUUACCCAAAAAAUAUAUGUUAUUUAGAACUAUAAGAAGAAUCAAAUAAACUUAAUAAACAAGGGCAUUGUUGUCCAAUGGGCAUAUGGGGGUGUUGAUUUAGCCCCUCCCAGAUAGAAAUUGUUGAAGUUGACCAAAACAACAAGGACUAGAAAACAACGGCAAUCAAACAUUGACUAGAACAAUAUAAUUCUUUUUUCAAAAAGAAAUUAAAAAAAAAGAAACUAAAAUUUAUAUAGAAGUGUAAGAAUAGACAUGUCAAUUGGACCUUAUAAGCCAAAUUUGACAGACACGAGUUCAACUCAUUUCAUGUAAAACAGUAUUUAAAUCUAACCUCAACACAACUAUUCUGACAAAUAUUUAGAUCCAUCCUCAACUCAAUUAACUAAGUUUUGGGUCAAGUUUAUAUCCUCACUUUUGCUUCUUAGAUUCCUACUUAAUCGUAUGUAAUACAUUCACUAAGCAUGACCGUUUAGUGUAGUAUAUUGUAUUUCACAUGAUUUUCUUUAUCCCAUCCUUUUACAAUGUACAUUAUUGCCAUUAAAUAAAUUAUUGUUUUAUUAUCAAAAAAUCAAAAUUAGCCUACAUAAGAGAGUAAUAAUAGGAAAGAAUCUGGAAUUUAUAUUCAUAAUUAACAUCAGUUGUUCUUUAAAUACUACCAUCAUACAGAUAUUAGGAGGUAGUACAAAAUUGAAACCUUAAAAUGAUUUGCUUAUUCACUUAGGUUUUGUCAGUGUAAAAACUACUACCGUGUCUAUUACAAAAGACAAAACUAGUUGCCAAAUGGCAAUGGUUAAUAAUUUCACAUAAGCAUUAAUGACAUAUAACAAAUUAAGAAUCAGUGAUGAAGAAGUUAGCCGUUGAUAAUAAAACAGAAUCACCUUUCUAUAUAAAUGAAAUUAGAGUUUUUUUCACUUUCACAUUCAGAGUUUGAAAUCCUAGAUUGAUAAUUUAGGAAUGGAAAGCGUAUGGAAAAGGGAGGAAGGAUUUAGGGGAAAAAAAAUUAGAUAGUAGAGGUUCACCAACGUGCAUUAUAGGGGCCUAUGUACAUAUAUGAGAUUGGACAAAUGAAACUCGUUAAAGCGAAAAUAAGUGACUGUAAUUUAAAUUUGCAUGGCCUCUCUAUGUAAAUGCGAUUGGACGGUUCGACAACUGAAGUGCAAUAAAAUGAGCCGUCUAAAAAAAUGAGAUUGGACAGUAAAGACCCACAAAAGCACGCUACCGGUUGAUAAGAUACAGAGUCGCAUUUUCACAUGAAUGAGAUUGGACGAUCGGGACUCACUUAAGAGCAUAAAAGUAGCCCGUUUAUACAAAUGAGAUUGGACAAGUGAGACCCACUAAAGUGAAAAUAACUGAUUAUAUGUAAUUUGAAUUAGCAUGGCCCCUCUAUGAAAAUAUCCUGGAUCGGACUUAUAUUUGUAAGUGGAGCCUAAUAGGAUAAUUGUUCUUGGGUCUACUAUACAUUACAUUCGGCCGAAUCCUUGGCAUUUUAACCCUGAUCCAAUAGGAGAAUACCUUUUGGUCAAACAAAUGCCCUACACUCCCAACUAGGGUUGCAAACAAAUUAAAUCGACUCGCGAACUCAAACAUCGAGAUCGAGCUGAUCAAGUCGAACUCGAAUUCGAAUUUGAAUUCAAAAAUAUUAAAUUCGUUAACUGAUGAUUAUAUAUAUAUAGUUUAUUUUAAAUGUAAAAUUACACACAUAUAUAUAUUCCUAAUAUUUUAUUAUUUUAUUAUAAAUUAUUAUUUUAUUCAUUUAUAAAAAAUAAAAUAAUUAUUUGUUAUAUUUUUUAAGCUCAAGCUUGACCUAAAUAUUUUGAACUCGUCAAACUCAAGCUCGAGUUCAAAUUUUAUAAAAUUACGUUGAGACUCGACUCGAUUAGACCGAUACUCGAUUCGACUCAAUUCGUUUGCAUCCUUACCCCCAAGCCUAAACUUUUCAGGAUUGAGAGUAGAAUGAUUGAAAUAAAUGUAGCAAGAACUAGAGUUGGUAUUGAAAAGAAAACCCAAAAUCAAGUAGGUGCCAAAAUCUAACUGGAGGACAGGAGUUCAUAAGUUACUAGAACUCAAAACAUAAUGGAGGAGAGGUAGGAACAAUUGCAGGAGGUAACAGUUGCUCAUAGGUACCAACCGUUCCGAAAGAUUGAUGGUCAAGAUUUGAUCAAUAAUGUAAGGUUCAGAUUAUAUCUUGUAUAUUGUUUAACAUCAUUUUUCAUAUCAUGUAUGAGAUUCACAAAAUUUUAUUCUAUAAUUACACGUUAUUGAAAGUGAAUUAUAUUAUAUACACACAAAAUUACAUUUUGUGCAUUUUACACAAAAUCGGUCUGAACGAUUUUUCUGAUGAUUGUUUGGACCCAAUGUCCAAACAUAAUUGACAAAUACUGUGAACUUGAUUUUGUAAAGAUUAUUGAAAGAAAAAGUUUUUCCAACUCCCAAAAAAUGAUGUUUAUUUUCCAAAUGAGGCUGCUUGCAUUUCAAAAAUACAACUUUUGGAAAGUACACAUUUUAUGAAUGCGACUUUUGAAAAUUCUUUGUAUUACGAGUUAUUUUUUUUAAUGGCCUAUUUUACAUUUCACAUGCUAACCUUAAUCACUUUGAUUACUUCAGCCAAAAAAAAAAUUAUAAAAUAUUUUGCCUGCACAUGCUAACCUUAAUCACUUCAAUUAACCUUUAAUCAGACUGAUAAUUUUUCAUGACUUUUUUUUUUCUUUACAUUGAACAUGCUAACCUUAAUCCUUUUGAUAAUCCAAGCUUAACCAGGUUGAUUAUUUCAGCAUAAAGUCCCUGGUGAUAUCUAUUAAUCAACCAAACCGAUGUUUCCUGUCUUUAAGUCAAGGCUGAUAGUUUAACUCAUGUACAGAACUGAAAAAGGGAUCCUAGGUACAUGUAAAAAGUAAAAAUAUGUAUAAACUCCUUUUAAUUCACAGCUUAAUGCAUUAAUAGGUUACCCUCAAACAUAAAUUUACAAGAAUUAGACCAAACAGUCAGCAAGUACAGGAUAAGAUCUCGUUCUGUCUGAUUUAGCACUGUCCAGAAUAUAAACUUGAAACUAUAUAUGAGAUGAAACCUGACACAGUUUUGCAAAACCACAACACUGAUUCUAAACUACACUGCUGAAAAGCUACGAUUACAAAUUUUGUCAAUAACUAUAUACUUAAAUGCCAAUUAAAGAUACAAGUGUUUCCAGUACCAAGGUCUCAACUGUUAUUGUACAGAACCUCUUAUUCCUACAACUGAAUUUCUACGUUCUAGUCAGUUGAUGUGCCUCACCUUACUCAAUCUAGGACCUCUCUUCAU